UCCAACCCCUGUGAACAUACCUUA
This 24-nucleotide ribosomal RNA is filed under the name Fusarium avenaceum. Its description in RNAcentral is "partial 18S ribosomal RNA". The record is from RNAcentral. Lineage: Eukaryota; Fungi; Ascomycota; Sordariomycetes; Hypocreales; Nectriaceae.